CCUACGGGAGGCAGCAGUGGGGAAUAUUGGGCAAUGGGCGCAAGCCUGACCCAGCAACGCCGCGUGAAGGAAGAAGGCUUUCGGGUUGUAAACUUCUUUUCUCAGGGACGAAGCAAGUGACGGUACCUGAGGAAUAAGCCACGGCUAACUACGUGCCAGCAGCCGCGGUAAUACGUAGGUGGCAAGCGUUAUCCGGAUUUACGGGGGGUAAAGGGCGUGUAGGCGGGAAAGCAAGUCAGAUGUGAAAACCAUGGUCACAACCUGUGGCCUGCAUUUGAAACGGUUUUUCUGGAGUACUGGAGAGGCAGACGGAAUUCCGAGGGGAGAGGUGAAAUGCG
RNAcentral lists this ribosomal RNA (338 nucleotides) under uncultured bacterium. Its description in RNAcentral is "partial 16S ribosomal RNA". It matches the Rfam family "Bacterial small subunit ribosomal RNA", at positions 338 to 690 of the family's 1533-position model. The record is from RNAcentral.